UGAGAACAAGCUGUUUUAGCAUUUCAUUUACACUGAAAAGGUACUUGUAUAUAAACAAGGUUCUUAA
RNAcentral lists this transfer RNA (67 nucleotides) under Megabalanus tintinnabulum. RNAcentral's name for it is "tRNA-Val". Lineage: Eukaryota; Metazoa; Arthropoda; Thecostraca; Balanomorpha; Balanidae. The record is from RNAcentral.